This 475-nucleotide ribosomal RNA is filed under the name uncultured bacterium. Its description in RNAcentral is "SSU rRNA". It matches the Rfam family "Bacterial small subunit ribosomal RNA", at positions 26 to 518 of the family's 1533-position model. The record is from RNAcentral.
AGGACGAACGCUGGCGGCGUGCUUAACACAUGCAAGUCGAGCGGAAAGGCCCUUCGGGGUACUCGAGCGGCGAACGGGUGAGUAACACGUGAGCAACCUGCCCUUAGCUUCGGGAUAGCUCCGGGAAACCGGAAUUAAUACCGGAUAUGACUAUGGCCGACAUCAGCCAUGGUGGAAAGUUUUUCGGCUAGGGAUGGACUCGCGGCCUAUCAGCUAGUUGGUGAGGUAACGGCUCACCAAGGCGACGACGGGUAGCCGGCCUGAGAGGGCGACCGGCCACACUGGGGACUGAGACACGGCCCCAGACUCCUACGGGAGGCAGCAGUGGGGAAUAUUGCGCAAUGGGCGAAAGCCUGACGCAGCGACGCCGCGUGGGGGAUGAAUGCCUUCGGGUUGUAAACCCCUUUCAGCAGGGACGAAGCGAAAGUGACGGUACCUGCAGAAGAGCGCCGGCUAACUACGUGCCAGCAGCCGC